RNAcentral lists this transfer-messenger RNA (350 nucleotides) under Dethiobacter sp. It matches the Rfam family "transfer-messenger RNA". Rfam says of the family: Bacterial tmRNA, also known as 10Sa RNA or SsrA, is named for its dual tRNA and mRNA-like properties. Its role is to liberate the mRNA from a stalled ribosome. To accomplish this part of the tmRNA is used as a reading frame that ends in a translation stop signal. RNAcentral also lists the same sequence under 1 other name. The record is from RNAcentral. Lineage: Bacteria; Bacillati; Bacillota; Dethiobacteria; Dethiobacterales; Dethiobacteraceae.
GGGGGUGUAAUGGGUUCGACGGGGGUAGAAGAGGCAAGAGAAGCGGGUCCAGGACCAUGGCCUGGUUAAAACAUGGAACGGCUAUAACUGCCAACAAUAGACUAGCUCUCGCUGCUUAAUUAAGCAGCCGCUUGCCUUCUCCCUGCCUGCAGGAAAAGAGCAGGUGUCAUAGCAGCAGGCUAUCCGGAUGGAGGCCGCUCCUCCUUCACCCGGGGAAACUAAAGGAGAUAGCUUGUGCAGCAUCUUGCUCCGGAGAGGCUGUACUGCGAAAACUAAACCCAGGGCUACGCUCGUAGAUGCUCUUGUGGCUUUGCCUUCGGACGCGGGUUCGAUUCCCGCCACCUCCACCA